RNAcentral lists this ribosomal RNA (297 nucleotides) under uncultured bacterium. RNAcentral describes it as "partial 16S ribosomal RNA". It matches the Rfam family "Bacterial small subunit ribosomal RNA", at positions 1082 to 1382 of the family's 1533-position model. The record is from RNAcentral.
UAGUCCGCACGAGCGCACCCUCGUCCUUAGUUGCCAGCAUUAAGUUGGGCACUCUAGGGAGACUGCCGGUGACAAACCGGAGGAAGGUGGGGAUGACGUCAAGUCAGCAUGCCCCUUACGUCCUGGGCGACACACGUACUACAAUGGCCGAGACAAAGGGCAGCAACCUCGCGAGAGCAAGCGAAUCUCAUCAAACUCGGUCUAAGUUCAGAUUGCAGGCUGAAACUCGCCUGCAUGAAGGAGGAAUCGCUAGUAAUCGCCGGUCAGCAUACGGCGGUGAAUCCGUUCCCGGGCCUU